AAUUGACUUGAGUGACGUCUGCCCAGAGAGCCAGUCCCUGAGUCGUAGCUGUUUUGCCUGCUGCGUAAGCGCCCUUGUCUUCCGGGCCUGCCUCUGUGCAGCUGCGUGCGGGAGUCCGGUCUUUGCAGAGCAGAAGAUCCCUUCUUGAAAGCACCAUGAUCCUCUUAGAGCACUAUGACACCCGGAGGUGGUAGAGGUAAGCUGGCACUGUCCAAAUUAGACUAGGAUCUAUUUGUUAAAGCUGGUGGCAGGCUUUCCAGUGCUCGGGACUGCCCAGAAAUCUGGAUUCUUCCAAGAUGUCCCAUUUGGUACCUUGAGCCAUCCUGGAGGAAAUAUUUGAAACUGGUACCCGCUAGGAGCAUCGCUUCUUCCCUGGCAUGUCUGGGGAUUUGGGCUGGUGGGCUAUAGUGCUGCCCGCCGUCCUGCACUGGACUACGCAUUCCAGAAUUGGAAUUGGCUCCACAUCCAGGGGCUGUUUCCCUGAGCACCUUCCAUGAGGAAUGGCUUCAAAGUACCUCUGCUCUUUGACCAGAAGACACGAAACUUCAAUUACCAUACUUUACAAUUCUCUUCACGAUAUGGAGACUCCAUGGUUGAGCAUCACCUUCAUACGGAGAAUUAAAAAUAAGCCCUCGGAAGGAAAGGCAGGGAACGGAGGUGAAGAGAGUGGAACGUUGCCAUUGGUCAAAUGAUGGGCUGUGUUUAUUUUCAAUCACAAAACUAUACAUCCAUGCUCACCCAGUGUCUGUCACAUCCAGGUGCUGUGACAGAUACUGAAGAUGCAAAGAUGAAAAAGCAUCUGUUUCUGCUGUGUCGGAAGUUGCUCUGAUCCGAAGCCGGGGGGCGGACUCUAAGGAAGCCCAGAGGACGGAAGGAUGAUGCGGCUUGGUGCGGGGCUCACAGGAAGGCUUUCUCCUUGAGGCAACCAUUGAACCGGACCUUGAAAGUUUCAUAGGCCUUCGCUGGACUACAAGAAAGGACACUCUUUUUUAUUUUCUUUUUUUAAGAUUUUAUUUAUUUGAGAGCGAGAAAGGGCACGAGCCGGGCGGGGGCGGGGAGGGACAGAGGCAGAGGGAAAAGCAGGCUCCCCACAGGAGCCUGAUGUGGGGCUCGAUCCCAGGACCCUGGGAUCAUGACCUGAGCUGAAGGCAGACGCUUAACCAACUGAGCCACCCAGGAGCCCCUCAACUCUAUUUUUAACUUGAUUUUUAAAAAAAUCUUGCUCUAUAUGUUAUUAGCCUUUUAAAUGUGAACCUAUGCUUAUGAAGUAAAUGUUUAGCUUUGUUGCUUAAUAAAAGUUCUACUUUUGGGCGCCUGGGUGGCUCAGGUGGUUAAGCGACUGCCUUCGGCUCAGGUCAUGAUCCUGGAGUCCCUGGAUCGAGUCCCACAUCGGGCUCCCUGCUCAGCAGGGAGUCUGCUUCUCCCUCUGACCCUCCCCCCUCUCAUGUACUCUCUCUCAUUCUCGCUCUCUCAAAUGAAUAAAUAAAUCUUUUAAAAAAAUGAUAAAAGUUCUACUUUUGUGGGGGAAAAAAGGCCCAUUUUAGACAAGUGUGCUGCAUUCUCUCUGACUGAGUUGCUCAGGCUGAAGGGGAUUCAGAGGGGUCUGGAUACUGAGGCUGCAACCAGGUGGCACCUUUAUUAGUACCUUGGCAGAAAGGGAGCAUCACUUUGGGAAUACCGACUCAUAUUCAUAGAACAAUGGCAGACAUUAUCGUACCAAAAUGGAAAAUCCAAUGCACCAACUUUAUUUCCAGGGUGAAUUUUGAGUAUAUGGAACCCUUGCCAGCUGUGGAGAGAUGGAAAGUGCAUUGAACUUGGAGGCAGAAGAUUGGGUUGCCUGUGUCUGCCACUUACUUGCUGUGUGAUCUUGUGCAAACCAUUUAACUUCUCUGAGCUCAGUGUUCUCAUUGAUAAAAUCAUGAGGACCAGAGAAAGGUCCGUGGAAAGUCUUCAUUUUCUAGGAGCGUGGUGUCAGAUCUUCCAGAGAGGUUGUGGAUAGGAUUAAUAAAAUCCCGUAUUUGACUGUGACUAGCCCAGGGCCUGGAGCAAAGUGGCCACUCCAAAGCUGCUUGCUCCUUUCUUCAUUGUUACUCUGAGCAGAGCAUUGACAAGCCUGCAGUACAUGGUGUCCUGCCAAUCAGGAACAACAUGACCAAUGGCCUCUACCCUAGCAGAGCCACCAUUUUCCUGCUGCUUGGUAGGUAGAAGAAGGUAUGAAGCAUUAUGCUAGCUGAGCUGGUGGAAUCCAUGUCUCUCAGGACUUUAAGUGCUUGGGGAGCAACUGAGUCUUUUCCUUAUUUGGGUAUCAAAAUAAAAUCUCCAGGGGUGCCCAGGUGGCUCAGUCGGUUUAGCUUCUGCCUUCAGCUCAGGUCGUGAUCCCAGGCUCCUGGGAUGGAGUCCCUCGUGGGGCUCCCUGCUCAGCGGGGAGUCUGCUUUUCCCUCUGCCUGGUGCUCCCCCUGCCCGUGCUCUCUCUCUCUCUCUGCUUUCUCUUUCUCUCGUUAUCAAAUAGAUAAAAUCUUUUAAAAAAAUAAAUAAAAUCUCCAAAGUAGAGAGAGAUCUAGUGUAAAACUGGAAUGCUCAAAUGGUUCACACGAUCCGUGUCUGAGAAUCAGAAAAGUCAGUUUCAUCGGACAUCCUUAGAAAAGGAGGCACGAGCAAGGGUGGGCCUGGUUUGGAGGGUGUCAACACGCAGAUGGGGUGUGGAGGAGGGGGACAGGAUGUAGAGAAGGAUGCCCUGACAUUCCUUCAAUGGCUGCAAAUUGCUUUGUAAGGGAGGAUUCCCCACUCGGGAUCAAUAAGCAAUUCUCAGCUGAUAUUCUUUAAAGCACAUAAAAGUGUGGAAGCAAUCAUACGGCGGGGGAGUUUCCAUGGGGCCCUAGGCAGGCUGAGGUAGAAGAAUGAAAGCUGCCUUAGAGGGCUCAGGAGAGGGAGGAAGGGAAACAGCUGUGAGCAUCUCUGGAAGGAGGAAACCUGUAAUAUUCACACACAGGGUGAGAAAGAAAGAAAAGGAACAAGGACAUAGGGCAGCCGGAAACAGCACAUUUCCACUGAUUUCACUUUUGAAAGCAUAAUGGUCUUGUUAAAAAAAAAAAAAAAUUGGGGAACUGGUGCACUGGAGGGUUUGUUUUUAACCAAUGAGUCAACAAGUUGGGCUUUAACUUUAAAACUGUAAUUCCACCUUUACUGUUUGUUGGAGGUCUCAUCAACAUGGGUUUGAGAGGGAGCACUCAAAGUUUAACACUGUAUCCACUGAAUUUAACUUGUCCGAAGAUGGAAAUAUGGUCUACACCGCUGCUCGUUUUGUGUGGGCUGGAGGACUGCUGGUCUAUAACCUGGUCUAUAAACAUCUAUAACCAAGAUGAUAGGAACACAUACUGGGAAAUUAAAAGAAAUGUGGACAAGAGGGAGGCAGAUAACACCUGUUGUGCUGAGCAUCCACUAAAUCUUUCUGAGUCUUUGCCUCAUCUGAUAAAUGAGGACCCAUCUCGCCGGCUGUUGUGAAAAUAAGAUUCGGUAACUGUAGGAGUAGAUACUGAGCAGAUAAAUGGUGCACUUUCUCUGGCAGACCUGCAGGUACCCUCGUGUUUUCUGAAGAAACAUUUGUUACCUGCCAUGUAGAAAUGUGCUUUGUGUCAUCUAAGGCAAAUGGGGCGCUGGUGAUUGAAUCUAAGUUUUCUCUUCUUCCAACCUCAAGGGGCAAAAGUUAAGUUAGGAGAAUGGAUAUUUCGUGUUUCUUGCUGUGUCACAGAGUCGUUGGUUGGGGGGAGUUUGCGGGGGGCGGGAAGAAUGAUGGCUAUUUUGAUGUCUCUAUUAAUCAUACACUAGACCCUUGCCAGGCAGCCGAAACAACUACAUUUUCUGGCGUCAUUUAUAUACUGCUGGCCUAUGGAGAGGGAGCUUUGGAGAGGGUCCCAAAGGAAAGCCAACAGCAAGUGUGCACUUCUCUCAGAUACCAUGCUGGGCACUUUCAAAUGCAAUAUUCCUUCAGCUCCUCGACCUACCCUAGGAAGGAAUAUGUCCACUUUAGGAAAGGAAAGACUGCAACUGAGAGAGAUUGACGUGCCCGCACACUUACUACAAUCAGUGUUUGGACUCUGACUACAGAGAAGCAUUGAGCCUGAGAUCCUUGUGAGCUGGGGGCAGGGGAGGGACAGAAGAGUAAGCACCGAGUCUGUCAAUACUGAUUCAAAAUCCUCAUUGCUUCUGCUACGGACAUCAGUCGAGUGUGGUCAGAAAACCUCUGGAAGUUUCUGGCACACACGGAACCUUUCCAGCCACCCCUAGCACAUCUCCGGGGCUCUGGCUCGUGAGGGAAGCCACGGGCCCUCUGCGUGCCAGGGCAGACAGCUCUGGGUCAAAGGGAUGAUUUCAGAAUUAACUUCAUCUCAUGGAUGAGUUUCAUUUCAUUGACAAAUAGUCCUGCCCGGGUUGGCCAUGAGUGCGUCUCUAGGGAAGGACCUUGUCGUGGGACGAUUUAGAGGGAUCUUAUUACUCUGUGUAAUAUUGCUCUUUUUACUGUGAUAAAAGAAACUGCCACUUCUUAAAUACCCACUGGCUAUGGACUGCAUUUUACACAUAUCAUCUCAUUUAAUUCACACAAUGACUCUAUGUAGUAAAUAUAUUCACUCUUAUUUUAUAGACAAAAAGGCUCAAGAAGGCUAAGAGGCUUGCCAAAGGUCACAGUAAGUGGCAGAGCGGCAAUGCACAAUGCCAUCUUUUUAAUGCUCAAGAGUGUGGUCUUUCCACCUCACUGUAAUGUGACUCCCUAUAAUAAUGAAUAAUAAAUAAAGAAAUAAUAAUAAAUAAAUAAAAUAAUAAAUAAU
Molecule: long non-coding RNA, 4824 nt
Organism: Mirounga angustirostris (Northern elephant seal)
Lineage: Eukaryota; Metazoa; Chordata; Mammalia; Carnivora; Phocidae
Exons: 6
Source: RefSeq, a predicted model, not a curated record